GACGAACGCUGGCGGCGUGCCUAAUACAUGCAAGUAGGACGCUGAAGGAGGAGCUUGCUUCUCUGGAUGAGUUGCGAACGGGUGAGUAACGCGUAGGUAACCUGCCUGGUAGCGGGGGAUAACUAUUGGAAACGAUAGCUAAUACCGCAUAAGAGUAGAUGUUGCAUGACAUUUGCUUAAAAGGUGCAAUUGCAUCACUACCAGAUGGACCUGCGUUGUAUUAGCUAGUUGGUGGGGUAACGGCUCACCAAGGCGACGAUACAUAGCCGACCUGAGAGGGUGAUCGGCUACACUGGGACUGAGACACGGCCCAGACUCCUACGGGAGGCAGCAGUAGGGAAUCUUCGGCAAUGGACGGAAGUCUGACCGAGCAACGCCGCGUGAGUGAAGAAGGUUUUCGGAUCGUAAAGCUCUGUUGUAAGAGAAGAACGAGUGUGAGAGUGGAAAGUUCACACUGUGACGGUAUCUUACCAGAAAGGGACGGCUAACUACGUG
RNAcentral lists this ribosomal RNA (495 nucleotides) under uncultured bacterium. Its description in RNAcentral is "partial 16S ribosomal RNA". It matches the Rfam family "Bacterial small subunit ribosomal RNA", at positions 28 to 507 of the family's 1533-position model. The record is from RNAcentral.